RNAcentral lists this ribosomal RNA (398 nucleotides) under Salmonella enterica subsp. enterica serovar Bovismorbificans. RNAcentral describes it as "partial 23S ribosomal RNA". It matches the Rfam family "Bacterial large subunit ribosomal RNA", at positions 1273 to 1671 of the family's 2925-position model. The record is from RNAcentral. Lineage: Bacteria; Pseudomonadati; Pseudomonadota; Gammaproteobacteria; Enterobacterales; Enterobacteriaceae.
CUGGAGGUAUCAGAAGUGCGAAUGCUGACAUAAGUAACGAUAAAGCGGGUGAAAAGCCCGCUCGCCGGAAGACCAAGGGUUCCUGUCCAACGUUAAUCGGGGCAGGGUGAGUCGACCCCUAAGGCGAGGCCGAAAGGCGUAGUCGAUGGGAAACGGGUUAAUAUUCCCGUACUUGGUGUUACUGCGAAGGGGGGACGGAGAAGGCUAUGUUGGCCGGGCGACGGUUGUCCCGGUUUAAGCGUGUAGGUGUGUGUUCCAGGUAAAUCCGGUUCACUUUAACACUGAGGCGUGAUGACGAGGCACUACGGUGCUGAAGCAACAAAUGCCCUGCUUCCAGGAAAAGCCUCUAAGCAUCAGGUAACACGAAAUCGUACCCCAAACCGACACAGGUGGUCAGG